AACUAUAACGGUCCUAAGGUAGCGAAAUUCCUUGUCAGGUAAGUUCUGACCCGCAUGAAAGGCGUAAUGAUUUGGGCACUGUCUCAACAGCCCGCCCGGCGAAAUUGUAGUACCGGUGAAGAUGCCGGUUACCCGCGACAAGACGGAAAGACCCCAUGGAGCUUUACUGUAGCCUAAUAUUGGGUUUCGAUGUUGCAUGCACAGGAUAGAUGGGACACAGGGAAACAAGUGCUUUGGCAUUUGUGGAGUGGCCGUUGGGAUACCAUCCUUGCGAUAUUGGAAUUCUAACCUGCGCCUUUGAAUCAAGGCGGGGGACAUUGUUAGGUGGGCAGUUUGACUGGGGCGGUCGCCUCCUAAAGAGUAACGGAGGCGUUCAAAGGUUCGCUCAGCUUGAACGGAAAUCAAGCAAAAGAGUGCAAACGCAGAAGCGAGCCUAACUGCGAGACUGACGGGUCGAGCAGUAACGAAAGUUGGAGUUAGUGAUCCGGUGGUAUGUGAGUGGAAAUGCCAUCGCUCAACGGAUAAAAGUUACCCUGGGGAUAACAGGCUGAUCUCCCCCAAGAGUCCACAUCGACGGGGAGGUUUGGCACCUCGAUGUCGGCUCAUCGCAUCCUGGGGCUGUAUUCGGUCCCAAGGGUUUGGCUGUUCGCCAAUUAAAGCGGUACGCGAGCUGGGUUCAGAACGUCGUGAGACAGUUCGGUCCCUAUCUGUCGUGGGCGUAGGAAAUUUGAAGGGAGUCGUCCCUAGUACGAGAGGACCAGGAUGAACGUACCGCUGGUGAAUCAGUUGGCCUGCCAGGGCCACAGCUGGGUAGCUACGUACGGACGGGAUAAACGCUGAAAGCAUCUAAGCGUGAAGCCCCCCCUGAGAUGAGAUUUCCCAUUAGAAAUAAGUAAGACCCCUUAGAGAUGAUGAGGUAGAUAGGUCAGAGAUGUAAGCACUGUGAGGUGUUGAGUUGACUGAUACUAAUAGGUCGAGGACUUAACCUU
RNAcentral lists this ribosomal RNA (989 nucleotides) under human gut metagenome. Its description in RNAcentral is "bacterial LSU rRNA". It matches the Rfam family "Bacterial large subunit ribosomal RNA", at positions 1938 to 2925 of the family's 2925-position model. The record is from RNAcentral.